Long non-coding RNA from Onychostoma macrolepis, 396 nucleotides. RefSeq lists it as uncharacterized. The record is from RefSeq and is a predicted model, not a curated record. NCBI's taxonomy places the organism in Eukaryota, Metazoa, Chordata, Actinopteri, Cypriniformes, Cyprinidae. The transcript is spliced from 3 exons.
GCGCGAGCGCGCUUGUGAUGAUCACGUGUUCCAAUUCUGACAGACCAAAAAACGACUCGACGCCAGGAGAACUGACGUCUGCUUCGGCUUUCUCUCUCGCCCCACGACUGCUGGCCACAAUGGCUUCCAGCACAGCCACCCAGCGCUGCUUCUCAGAAAACCCUGAGGUCAUGAGGUACAGAGUCUGACCGGGCCAGCAUGUUGACUGUGGAGACGACUCCAACUUCAGCACAUAUGGCACAUCUGAACACAUACAAGUGAUCACUUUAUAUCCAUCCAGCACCACGUACUUCCUUUCCCAGCCCUGACCACGCUUCCCAUUUCUGCAGGAGGACAACCACAGUUCCAUGUACACUUAGUGUUUGCUUCUCUUCUGAUGGUGUUCAUGCUCACGGC